This is a non-coding RNA of Rattus norvegicus (Norway rat), 37141 nucleotides long. The record is from RefSeq and is a predicted model, not a curated record. Lineage: Eukaryota; Metazoa; Chordata; Mammalia; Rodentia; Muridae.
CUCCUACAGCUUCCGUUUGCUGUUCCCAGGAACGUGGAGUUAUUUGCAUGAGAAAGCCAGUGACUGCAGGGCUUGCGCUUUGAAUAGUUACUGAAUACUUGUUAAGACAGAACGAUAUGCUAUGGGGUCUGUUUUGAAACCUGGUACCAGCUGUACCAUUCGCAAGCACCUGUAUCCUGGCCUGGCUGCGGUGAUGCAGCCUGAAGUCCUGUGCUUGUAAAAAGGUCUUCAAACUGGGGAAAACAAGCCCGCUGGGGGAACAAAAGUGCCUGCAUCUGUCUCUUGGGGUGGCGUUCUCUUCCCUCGCUUCCUCGACUGAACGUGGAGGAGUUGCCUCCAGACUCUUGAGCACAAGCGGCAGGAAUGCCCAGGGAUGUGAAAGGGUUGAGAAUAAUCUCGCAUUGCACCUAUGUGCUCUUCUGCACGGGGAUAGGGGUGAGGUGGGGAGGAAGGUGUUGUGUCUUUAUUCCCCCAUCCCCCAAGACAGAGGUGGAGAGGAGGGAGGGAGUCACACCUCUCGAGGAUUGUUGAGAAGGUGGGAGGUCUGGCUCCCUCUGUUGCCUGAGGUAGGAUUUGCUGAGACCCAAGGUCGGAAAAUCAGAACUUCUCUAAGUGUGUUGGAAGCAGAGGUAUUAUUGUCAAAAUUUGGGGGAGCCUUUUGUCUACAGGGCACCGCCUCCGCAGUCAGGUUUGGGUGCUCUAGCUCUAGGGUUGAUUUGGAACUUUUCCAUAAGCUUAGGGGCUCGCAUUCAGCUUUCAUCUCCACAUGAAAAAGUAUGAGAAAGACCCCAGAUACUUUUCUUUCCGGGCCCUUGCUGGAUUGAGAGCUUUUUUUUUUUUAGGAUAAAAUAUUGUUUUCAUCUUUUGUACACAUUCAUACAUAAGAUGCAGCUGAGGAGUAGAGGAAGCAGGGCUUUACCCCCAGCUGUCACAUGGGUCCCCAUCUGCCACCAGAGCGCUCAUAGCGCGCACUUCUUUUCUCUCCCCCUCUCACCUCCCCCCUUUCCUCUGCUUUCCUGUUCACAACUCCUGGAGCACCACAAAGGGGCUUAGGGAUUCUGGGUCCUUCAGGCCAACCAGAGUCCCCCCACCCCUGCCUGCUUGGAAAGGCUCCAUUUUCCCACAGUAUUUCACAUCCAUAUUACUUUUCACACCCUGUCAGGCAAUAAUGACACGGAACCUGCUAAGUACUUCCAUGCACCCAGCCAGGCCUCCCACAGCACUCCAGAUCCCGAGGGGCGGUCUUGCAGUCUUGAAGACCGUUGCUUUCUUCUCCCCUCCUCAGACUGACCACCCUGCCCCAGCUUAAUAAAGGGCUGGGCACACAGGUCUAGUGAAAGUCUUUUUAAAGGGGUAGGAAUGCCCAGCCAUAGGAAGAAAGGGUUUGGGGGACAGGUGUGGCUUCCCUUAAUAGCUGACAUUAGAUUGAUGACUUAAAAAAAAAAAAGGAACAGUGCUGGCUUUGGCAUGAGCAAAGCCCUGGAUUCUCCCUCCAAUAGUCAUAAAUACAUAAAUAGAUAAACAAAGAGGGCCACGCUGCAGUCCUUAUUGGGGGGGUGGAACCUAAACCUCCUUAUUAAUAUUUUGUGGCCAUCCUUUCCCUUCAUAGGCACCAAGCACAGUGGACACUAAGGGACUCUAAGGGGGCAGAAUGCAGUGUCCUCCACCCCUUUUCCUGGUCCCUAUCUGCUAUAGCCAUGGAGGCUGGAGAAAGAGUGAGGCCACUCUAGAAACUCGGGGAUGGGUGAAGAAUGAAGGUAUUUAGAUCAUCUAUAGCAUCCGAGAGACCACCUAUGGUGCCUAUAGACCUGGGAUGGAACAUUAUACACCUCUGUACUAGUCCUCGUCUUCUCAGGAAACUACUCAGUCUGCCACCUUAAUAGGUCUGCUGGCCUUUGGGUGUCAGUGGAAGGGCUUCAGGGAAGUUAAUGCUCCUCUACAACUCCUCCACAACCCCACCUCAGUUCUUCCAUUUGGAAGAGUAAUAAAACCUGCCCACCCCGACCUUCAGAACAUAGAGGGAAGGAACUAACUUUUAAUGAGUGCCUAUUAAGUGCCAAACAUUUUACAGGCUCAUGUUGUUUAAUCUUCACAAGCUACAGGGAGGACAUUUCUAAAUGCUUUAUGCCCAAAAGGACAUGGUGGCAGUAUAAAGAGAACAGGCCUAACUAGAGUAUGUGCACCCAAAUAAACUCCCAGAUUCCUAGGACAGGAUGGCUUUCAGAGUAUUGUAGGCUGGGCUAGAUCUCCUGGUCACAUGGAGGACUUGAAAUACCUUCCAUGAGCAUCUUCCGCACACUCCUAGAGAGAUGGAAAUCCUGUCCUAAGCACUUGAAGAUUUUUGUGACACAUUUUAAAUUCUAGUUCCCACAUGCUGACCCUAAAGCUAAUGGCAGAGUCAUUUACUCAUAUCUCUCAUCAUGAGAGGAACCCAGAGUCUUAUGGCUCCCCAAAGAGUUACUUUGUAUCUCCUCACCAUUUCAUUGGAGUUGAUAGAAACAACUUGGACUUGAAUUUCUGCUCCUGACUUUUAAACUGAGUCCAAAGCUCCCUCUUCAGCCUGGAAGCUCAAAACUGGAGAAACCCAUAAGGCAAUUAACUUGGCUCUGAUAUACAAACCUCAAUAUUUUUUUCUCUUUUCAGGGCCAGAAGGGGUUAUCUACUCCAAACUAGGGGAGAGCAGAGUGUGAGGUGCUCUUCCCAGUGUGUGUGUGUGUGUGUGUGUGUGUGUGUGUGUGUGUGUGUGUGUGUGUGUGUCUGCAGUUUUACUUGCCAGCCUUAUGCAGUAGUUGCUUCAACACUGGCAGACAUCUUUCUUAUCUAGAGAGGGGAUCUGUGCAGAUAGUGCUUUAGGGCCUUGGUUUAAUGAGUCUGUGGAGAAUAGGGAGACAGACACAGAACUUUGAAAGCUAGAAAGGAAAGCAAGUGUAAGCCUUCAGGGAGAGGUGGUAUGACCUGAAAUUUCUUGAAGGAAACUAUUCCCUCUUUUUUUUUUCCAUCCCUGUAAAGAUAUGGUCCCUGUACAUAUCUGCACUCUCUAGCUAUCAGCCAUCACCUUUGGGGUUUCUGGAAUAACUAUGUCGGUUAUGUGGAUGAGGAUGCCUGGUGUGCGUGUGUGUGCGUGUGUGUGCGUGUGUGUGUGUGUGUGUGUGUGUGUGUGUGUGUGUGUGUGUGUGUUGAAGCAUGCAUGCACCACAAUGGCCAGCCCCACUCCUGUUCUUCAUAUUCCUGAUGCAGCUGUUGAGGAAGAACCCCCAAAAAGGAGAAGGCAAAGUUGGAGAGCAGACAAGGGACUGAGGAGAGGGGAGAGGAACCUUAUUCUCAUAGUCUGUUAGGUCAGACAUGAACAGUCCCUGAAGCUAUAGCCAUCUGAUUUAAGCCACCUCUUUCCUUUUGUGUAUAAAUGGUGUGUGUGCGUGUGCACGUGUGUGUGCAUGUGCGUGCGUGUGUGUUUUUGUGUGUGUGUGUGUGUGUGUGUGUGUCCAGCUCACGCUCGCAGCUCGCAUGCACGCACUUCCUAAAUUUUCAACUAAACCUCUUAGGCCCUAGUUAUUCCCGUAGCAGUGAGCCAAACCUGGAGAGGGCUGAGUGCUUAUUUAAUGGUACUUUUUAAUCACACGAGAGUAUAUUAAUUCAUUUUAUAGUUUCGAUGGUGGGAAGAGAGAAUAUGGUGACUUAUUUUCCGCAACUCACAAAUACCGAUUCUCUAGCUCAGCAGUGACGUUAAGGAUGACUGGCAGGCAGGUGGGAAAUGAAGAUCAGGAAGGUUCUCAUCUGUGAUGGGUUCUGCUGCUUCCUGGCAGUGGUGACGGCAUAGGCCGAAGAUUCAAAGCCCUGAAACUGGAAGAUGCUAAUUUAAAUUAAACUCUAUCUUCCCUUCUCUCAAAUUGCCUUCCCACGGGCACUCCAACUCUCUGGAAACAAAAAACCAAGACCACCAAAAGGGAAAUUUAAAGGAGCGCAAGAAACCAUGAAGAGAAAACUGCCCAACGUAUUUGAAAGCGUGCAGAGUUUUGCCCGGAGUUCCCGUAGCAUACUCUCACUUUUCUCCAGAAGCUUCGUAGAAGCCAAUUUCUUUACUUAUAUUCUGGAAUUUUUUUUUUUAUUUUAGGUUAGGUUAGGUUAGGUUAGGUUAGGUUAGGUUAGGUUAGGUUAGGUUAGGUUAGGUUAGGUUAGUUUUCCUGGGAACUGCACAUUUGCAGACUCCCGCGGGCUCUCUAUCGUUGGCAGUAGAAAGCCUGCAGUCCAGUCUAGGCACUCCCCUCGGGGUACGCAGGAGCAGACAGAGCCACUGCCCUCCCAACAGAGCCUCUGGGCUGCUGGCUACUGGGAUGAUCUGAGCCAGAAUGAUCUUAUUGAAUGUAUUAAUGACCAGAGAGAUUUCUUAAGCCAAGUCCCCGAAGAAAGGAUCCAAAACGAGUAAAACAGUUGCAGAUCCUGACUCUGGCAAGGUUGUGAGUCGGGAAUCACAGCUCCCUCUCAGCCUCCUCCGGGUGUAGGAGAGUUGAUGCUCACUGGUGGGCUCUGCUCUCUGGGGUUUGCAGUCUGCGCUGUGGAAGGUAAUUACUUGAACUAUUAGUCUACGCUGCAACACACUGUUGAAGAUACUUCUGGUAUGCUUCAGAAAACAUAUUACUGCGUGUUUUUUUUUUCUUCCGCAGCAGAUUUAGCGUAAAUCUCUACUAAUAAUGGUACUGUCCGAAAAGCCGUCGGGAGUGUGGACAGAUUCGCCAUUCUUGUAAAACUGGUUACUUCUCUAAAAGUCACUCAUCCGACUGGGCGGCUGUGGAUGGAUGUGGUUGGGGUUGGGUCUUGGCUUCGGACGGAUUCGUGGCUUCUUUGUCUAUUUUUACAAAACAGCAGCAUUAAAUUGCUGCCUCUUGACUGCCUAUUCUCACGGCUGUUCAGUUUCUUCGAGUCUUCAGAUAAAAUCUUGAAUCCUGUAUUAGGGUGUGGCAUGCAAGACCCACAGUUCCCCCUGACUCCACUCCCUUGCCCCCAGACCCUUGACUAUGAAUUAUAGUCCUCCCCUGGGACCUCACUAGCGCAUUCUCAAAUAUGCUUGCAAAUGCAUUUCCCAAUCUUACUGGGUAAGGUUUGAUCUUCAAGGAAGUCCUCAUCCUGGUCCCCCACCAAAGGGUGUUUCAUGGGGGUUGGAUGCACAGAUCUCUCUUCUCUGCCUGUUUUCCCGGACAGUUUCAAAUCCAUGACUAGAGAUCGGAGAGACCUGGAGCUGAGCUGGCCACAGGAAUCAAGUAGGGACACACGUUACCCUCGAGAGAUUCCAAAGCUGCACCCAGAAAUGCAGGCUAAGUGGCAACCCCUAGAAUUGAGGCUCAGUCCUCAGUCCUGGAAUAGUUUAAUUCCACAGGUACUGUGCCCUUUAGAUGUGCGCUGCUUCAUAAGGCGUCCCGCUUUGAACACCAGGCCUCCUUUUCAUUUUUUUUUCUCUUGGUAAGGAAAGUAAACAUCUUGUUUAUAUUUCCAUAGUGGUCAGACCCUAAUUAUGCAUGAUUCCAGCAACAUGACUGCUGCAGCCAGAAGGCGCCGGUCUAGGAAGCCGCCUGGAACUUUACAUAGAUUUUUUUUUCCUGUUUUAAACUUUAGAUGGUUUGUGGAGGGUCAGGAACCACAGGCUGAAGGUUAGAUAGAAAAUGAACGGCCAGGAUUCCCUAUUUUGGGGACGGGGUGGGGGGGUUGGUGAUAUUUGCCUGAGAAGACAACCACCAGGAGGUUUGCAACUGCCCCUGCCGAUGAACAGUCAUAGCCUCAAGGACCUAGGUCCACAUCUGGUCAGUACCCACCAUUCAGCCAGGACUGGGUAAAAUCUAAACAUGUAAGUCUCAAAGAGAGUGAGGAAAGGAAGCGGACAACAGAACAUGGAAAACAUCUUUUUGGUCAUGUGAACUUUAUUGCAGAUCAGGAUGUUAUCUAACAGCUGCCCAAACUUCUGACUCCAUGCUCCAAAUUCCCAUACCUCCCCACCCGGUGUGCUGUCUGCCAACUUGGGGAUCCUCUUCCCAGCUUCUACCAGCAUCUGGCUGGUUGCAUUUGGAGAUGAUUUACCUUCCUUCAGUUCACCAGACAAUGGCUCCCGUGCUCACCUGGGCUGAUAGUUUCCUCAUCCAUUCUCCUCCUGCAUAGGAAGCUGGGUCGAAGAGGGGUCAGAAAGAGAAAGGCAAGCUGGGAGUCUAGGCCUCUGGUGCGUGCAUUCUCUAUGUGCCUUUGAUUUGGUCCAGAAAAAAGCAUCACAGGAAAAAUAAUGUUAGUGGGUGCCUGGGCCAGUCUCAAGCACUAGGAAACUGACUUUGUUCCCCUAAAGGCCUGACAAAGAUCUGAGCACAGGAUAGGCUACAAAGAUGAUCCUUAUUGGCCUUGGCCCAUGGGAGUUCUGAGGAAGAAGGGGCAACUUGUUAUUGUUGAGGAAACAAAAGCAGAGGCCCACGAGGACCCACCAAUGUUUGUAUAGUUCAUUUCCUAGUCUCAUAUGAGAACGGAGAGCAUCUCAGGAGGACCCUCUCCUACCUUCCACGCAAUGCCUCCCCAAACCCCAGUUUCCCCUAAGCAACUCACACCUAAUAUGGAAGGAGUUAGCUCUAGCUGACUGGUUUAACUGGUAGGACAUUACUUUGACCCUUAUGUGCAUUUCUGGACCCCAAAAGGUCAGGGGGAGCAGGGCCAAUGGGCCGAAGUACAAGCAUAAUCCAGAUAUCUAGGAACAUCUGCAGAGACCCGUGUGUAGAAAACCCAUUCAUCUUCGGUCCACUGAAUUUACUCUGUGGCAGGACAGUCUAAGAUAAGCCCCCAAUGAGGACAGUAGCUGCUACAAGAAGUCUGAGGCAGUCUCCUGGCUGCGCAGCUCCCUGAGUUGUGGAGCUUCUGAAUUAAAGGAUGUUCUGGUGUUGCCCACCUGGACAGUGUUGUGCCACCAAGCCCUUUAGAAGCAAAGUCUUUUACUUUGGUAAUCCAACCACACUUUUUCUAAGCGGGAAGAUGCACACAGCCCGGAAGUGCUUGCUGAGACCCGGAAGCACCUGGAGCUGGCCAGUCUCCUCUGUAGGAGGGAGACAUUGGCCACCUCAGCCGUAAAGCCUCAGGUCACCUGGGACCAGUGUUCUGUGUUUGUGAUCCUCAUCUCCUCUUGUCCCACCCACCUCUGGAAUCCAUACCGGCUGAUUGAGAGAAGGGAAACCUCAGGUCCCUGGUGCAACCCUCCAUGCCGUGUCCAUCACACUCAACUGAUAUUCACCUUGUUGCAGCAGGAAAUGAACCUCAACACAGUAGGAAUCAUCACUCAAUCACAUCAGGGUGAGUUACUCCAAAUGUAUACAAUAAAAGAUAAAUAUUUAUUUGAUUGACACAGUUUGCACAGAUAGAAAAACAAGCUGGAUUUAAAAAAUAGGUGAAACAAUUAAGUGGUUUUGCCAAUCUGCAAAUUGGCACAACUGGGGGCAAGACUCUAAGUCUAUUUCACUUUUACCCAAAAGGAUAUCAACACCAAAGGAAACAUUGGUUGUAACAAAUGAUUUGUGACUAGCAGAAUUGUUUUCACAGUUAAAUUGUUUAUUAUAAAAUUACAUUUAUUGGGGCUGCGAUGUACCUCUGUUGGUAGAGUUCUCACUUAGCAUGCGUGAAGUCCUAGAUUUGAUCCCCACCACACAUGUGCUCUCUCUCUCUCUCUCUCUCUCUCUCUCUCUCUCUCUCUCUCACACACACACACACACACACACACACACUCACACAUACACACUCACACAUACACUCUCACUCAUACACACACUCAAGCACACACACACUCACACACACACACACUCACACAUAUACACUCACUCAUACACACACUCAAGCACACACACACUCACUCACUCAUUCACUCACAGAGUCAUAUACUGAUGAGAAACCAAUCUCUGUUCAUGGAAGAGCUUUCAUGGAAGGGGCUGCAGUUUCUACUUUAUUGUUGUUCUGUGCUGUUUGUUGAGGCAGGAUCUCAGACUUGUGAUUCUCCUGCAUCAGCUUUCCAAGUGCUGGGACUAAAGGCAUGCACCACCACACCAAGUGGAUCUCAGCUACUGCAACAGUGCCACAUCUGCCUUCCUGCUGUUAUUCCCUGCCAUGAUGACCAUGGACUAACCCUCUGAAGCUGUGAGCAAACCUUCCUUUCGUGAGUUGCCAUGGUGAUGGUGUCUCCUCACAGCAGUAGAAGAGUAACUAAGAUACCUAGGUUUUACUUCUCAUUUUUAAAAGUAUUACUAUCUUUUGGGGUGGGGGUUGAUCUCACUCAAAUAGGUGGGAGAAACUAAUAAAUUUUUGAAAUAUCUGAUUUUCAGACAUUAUUCACUCAGUGAUGGUGGGUAUUGUGGUUUGGAUGUGAAACAUUCCCUGAAGCUGAUAUGUUUGAACAGCUUGUGCUUUGCAGUUGGACGUACUGCUUUGAAAGGUAUGAAUCUUAGGGAGUAGAGCCUUGCUGGAGAGAGCGGGCCACUGGGAGCUGGGAGCAGGCCUUAGGGUUUGAUAGCGUGGCCCAACUCUUUAACUCCUGACUAUAAAUGUAAUGUGGCUAGCUAUUUCACGCUCCUGCUGCCACAACCUCCCUGCUAUGAUGGACUGUAUCCCUUUCAACUGUCAGCCAAAAUAACACUUCCCUCCAUUAACUGCUUCUUGUUGGGUAUUUAGUUAUGGCAGUGAGAAAAGAAAGUAAUAUAGAGGGAGUUGUUUAUUUGCUUUUGCUCUUGGUUCUGCUUACAGUACUGAGGGAUGGAGUCCAUGGCCUUAUUCUUGUUACGCUAUGGAAGUAAAGGUGAGCUCUUCAGAAAAGCCUUUUAUCAUAAAAACAUACAAAAAGGAAACUAAGAAAAGUGCGGAAAAUUGGAGAAUUAGUAAAUGAGCAUCCUAAUCCCGAGCCCUAAUGCAGCAAUUGUCAUUCUGUCACCUUUUCUUCAUCCACCUAUGUGUUUGAUUGCUUGUUCUUGACCAGGUCUCACUAUGUAGCCCUACUGUCUGAACGAUGGCCUCAAACCCAUAGAGAUCCACCUGCCUCUGCCUCCCAAGUGAUGGUAUUUUAAAGGUGUGCACCGCUAUGCCCAACUGAGUCCUUUUUCUUGUAAGACCAUUUUCCUUGUUCUUUUUCAUCUACUAUUGUCUUCUGCACUUUUAUAUAUUCUUUUUUAUCCUUUCUUCAACAUUUUCAUCCUUAUAUAUUCUAUUUCUCUAAAGCCCCACUGGAUCCAGGUUUCAUAUUCAGAAGAACGCCUUAUGAUUAGACGCCCAACCUCACAGUAUGCCACAGUGGCCCCACUACCAAAGCUGCCAAAUUUAACCCUUGAGUUAAGGUGGAAACAUCUACAGCCACCUUCACUGGCAGGAAAUAAGAGGUCAUGAACUUGAGGGGUAUAUGGGAGGGUGUGGGAGCAUGGAAAUGGAAGGGAGAAAUGCUGUAAGCUCAAAAUUAAACAAAAAUUAAUACUCAUUGCUUGUGCAUCAGGAGAUGCUUGCUGUUAGCUUUUUGUAAAAAAAUAAAAUAAAAUAAAACAUAAUGCAAAAAAGUAAAAAGGACCAUAAUCAGGAUGCGCCAUAAGACAAGUGAGACUUUUCCCUUGUCAAUCUGUUGCUCAUUGAUGGAGUAAUAAUUUGAGGCUGUAAACAUUUCUGACUCCCUAAAGAAAUUACAUUACUGAGUUCUUUAAAAUGUAGUGAUAUACUUUUCAUCAUCAUCAUCAUCACCAUCACCACCAUCAUCAUCCUCACCACCAUCAUCAUCCUCACCACCAUCACCCUCACCACCACCAUCACACUCACCACCACCACCAGCAGCACCACCAGCACCAGCAGCACCACCAGCACCAGCAGCAGCACCACCACCACCACCUCCACCACCACCACCACCACCUCCACCACCACCACCACCACCACCACCAUCAUCAUCAUCAUCAUCAUCAUCAUCAUCAUCAUCAUCAUCAUGUUGCUGACUGUGAAUUCAACUGAGACUGAAUUCAAAGCUUCAGUCUCACUAUGACCUACCACGGAAAUACCACCAAUCCCAUGAUUUUAUUAAAGAACUAUGUUCUGGUUCUUCAAAGUUCCUUCAGGAUGAUGUACAAUCUAAAAGUCUGAAGGGAAAACCCAAAUGUCUGCUUUAAAAUUUAAGACAAUUUUUAUUUCCUGCUCAACUCUUUGUGGGUUAGCAGUAGUCAUGUCUAUAUGACAGUGAUUUGGGGUAUUGUUGGCUCCUCACCCAUUCACUUUAUUUCAUGAUCACGACAUGUUAAGUUCAUAAAAGGAGCAAGAAUGUUGUAGAAAUUAAUCCACGUGCAGCGAAGUGAGAUCAAGCAACCACCCAUCACAUUGAGAAGCCAAGCUUCACUGUAGGUCAUGUGGUAAGCUGACACUUCUUACUUUUUUGUUUCAUGUGCGUUGGUGUUUUACCUGCAUGUAUGUCUUGUAAGUGUGUUGCGUCUCCUGGAACUGGAGUUACAACAAGUUGUGAGUUGCUUGGUGGGUGCUGGGAAUUGAAUGCUGGUCCUCUGGAAGAGCACGCAGUACCUUUAACCAAUGAACCGUUUCUCUAGCCGGGCAAGCUGACUUUUGGUGUGAGGUAAUUGCGCCCCAGGCUGGAGUUGGGGUAACGCUCCCUUGAGUGAUUUCUUUGUUUCUUUUUUUUAAAGCAGGUUAAAAGAUGUGAGUUAGUACACACCAAUAACCAAGCAUGUGUGUGUGCGUGUGUGUGUGUGUGAGCACAUACCAAUAACCAAGCAUGUUUGUGUGUGAGUACACACCAAUAACCAAGCAUGUGUGUGUGUGUGAGUACACACCAAUAACCAAGCAUGUGUGUGUGUGAGUACACACCAAUAACCAAGCAUGUGUGUGUGAGUAUACACCAAUAACCAAGCAUGUGUGUGUGCGCGAGUGUGUGUGUGUGAGCACAUACCAAUAACCAAGCAUGUGUGUGUGUGUGAGUACACACCAAUAACCAAGCAUGUGUGUGUGAGUAUACACCAAUAACCAAGCAUGUGUGUGUGAGUAUACACCAAUAACCAAGCAUGUGUGUGUGCGUGUGUGUGUGUGUGUGUGAGCACAUACCAAUAACCAAGCAUGUGUGUGUGUGUGAGUACACACCAAUAACCAAGCAUGUGUGUGUGUGUGAGUACACACCAAUAACCAAGCAUGUGUGUGUGUGAGUGAACACACACCAAUAACCAAGCAUGUGUGUGUGUGAGUACACACCAAUAACCAAGCAUGUGUGUGUGAGUAUACACCAAUAACCAAGCAUGUGUGUGUGUGCGAGUGUGUGUGUGUGAGCACAUACCAAUAACCAAGCAUGUGUGUGUGUGUGAGUAUUCACCAGUGUGUGUGUGUGUGUGUGAGUGAGCACAUACCAAUAACCAAGCAUGUGUGUGUGUGAGUACACACCAAUAACCAAGCAUGUGUGUGUGUGAGUGAACACACACCAAUAACCAAGCAUGUGUGUGUGUGAGUACACACCAAUUACCAAGCAUGUGUGUGAGUGAGUACACACCAAUUACCAAGCAUGGUAGUAUGGUGCCUAAUUAGGAAUAGAAAACCCUUUCUAAAACUCUGUGUGUGCUCACUUUCUUUCCUUCGUUUGUUUUGGUUUCGUCCUCAUCUGUGAUUCAUUUGCCUUUUGCAUCUCCCACAGUUGCUUCUGCAGGAGUAUCAGGCUUGAGUGAACAGCAUGCCUCACACCCACUUCAAACACUGUUGAAAACCUCAUUUAUUAUUUCAUACUGUGGUCUCACUUAAAAGCUAAUGUUACAGAGACUAGGCAGGGGGGGGGGAGACAGAGAAAGACAGAGAGACAAAGACAGAGAGACAGAGACAGACAGAAACACUAUGAGGUAUCCCACAACAGAACUAUGAAGAAAAUAAGAACGUUCAGGAGUCAUACGGGUAGAUGAAAUGUCCAAACACCAGAAUGCUGGAAACCACCCAAGCUUAGGCUUAGCACCGUACAGAAACGUGAUGAAGACCAGGGCUGAUGUUUUCUUCCCAAUGAGAAGUUUCUUACUUAAGGACCGCAUUCUCAGGAUUACAAGGAUUUGCCUGAAUAGCCAAGGGAACACUUACCUACAGAAAAAUCAGAAAAAGGGGAGAGGGGAGAUUCCAUAGGAACCACCUAUUCCAUGAGACUCUAGUUAGAACUUAUAAUAAGCACAGACAUAAUCAUAUUACAUUGCUAUGGGCAGAUGAAAACUACAUUAAGUAGGAAUUAUAUUUUCCCAGUUAGCUAACAUUUUAGACACCAAAACCCAAGUGUUUGUGAAAGUCAAACCCAAUUACAAUUCAAAAUGAUUCAGCACUAUUUAAAGAAAAGCCAGCACAAGAUCAUGUGGCUGAAAAGACUUCAUGCCAGAAGCUUAAUCAUUCAUUCUCCUCCCUCCCUUCCUACACUCCUGAGUAUACAUGAUGCACACCUUCUGUGAAAGCUGCUUACAUAUGACAGUCCGAACUGUCCCAGAUUUCUGGAGGACAUUUACUAUGUUAAUUGACCCCUAUUCCACUGCACUGUGGGAAUGACAGGAAUUGGGGCAGGGAACCAUCUAUCUAAUACAAGACAAAUGGAAAGAAAUCUUCCCAUAGUUCAUGCAGUAGAUAGCCCUCUCCCCCUUCUCUUCUCUCUUCUUUUUCGAAACCAAGUCUCUAUGUAAUCCUGCCUGUCCUGGAACUGUAUAUAGACCAGGUUGUCCAUGAGACCCACCUGCCCCUGCCUCCUAGGCACUGGUAUUAAAGGUGUCCACUGCCUCGCCCAGCUUCCCCCAAGCUCCCAUUUCUAAGCCCUAAGUCACACUUUCACAUAAGGCUGGAAUUUCAGUCCACACCUGUCUGCUGAACAGCUUACCCCAGCAGCUGGUUGCAGUGGGGUUUCUACAUUCUCAGAGAAGAGACCCAAGAUGAGGGAACAACAAAAACGGAACACUUCUUGCUAAGGCUUCAGUGAUUAAUGACCCUCACUUGGCCAGUGCUGCUACUAUCAAUUCUACUUCUCAAAGGUCAGACAGCCAGUAGGUAAAACCAAGGCUCGCAUGUUCAUGUCUCAGCACACUGCUUUAUUAUUCUUCCCCCCUUUGGAAUAUAAUAGUUGUCGUUCUUGGGGUUUUAUCCGAGAAGUAAGGCCCGAGUUGCCUGAGCUGCCUAUAUUUUAAGCCUGUGAAGAGUUUGCUCAUUCUUUAAGAGAACAUAGAAUCUUUACUCAAGCUGCCAUCACUGUUUGCAUCUCAUGAUUGAUGACCUUGAACUCCUAAUCCUCUAGCCUUACCUCAAGUGCUGGAAUUACAGACAUGCCCCACCAUGUCCAGUUUAUGCAGUGCUCAAGGUAGAAGCUCAGGGAUUGGUGCGUGGGCAAGCUCCCUACUAACAUCUCCAGUCUCAUUUUCAUCACUUUAAACUAUGUACCAUUCGAGAGAUAUUAAGUGUGCUCAUAAUGUUGUAUAAUCAUUCAUCUCAAAAUUUUGUCUGUUCCUCAAACCCGUUUAGCCUCCAUUAAGUACUAACCCCCAACCUUCUCUCUGGGGCCCUGGCAAACUACCACUUUACGCUCUGUCUCAAUGAAUUUGACUAUUGUGGGUACUUCAUAUAAGUGGAAUUAUACAAUAUUUCUUUUUUUUAAUUACUGGCUUAUUUCACCUAAUGUGAUAUCUUCAAGACUGACCCAAUUGUGGAGCAUGUGCCCUAUUUCAGGCUGGAUAUUUCUUAGUAUAAGUAUAUCCUGAUUUUCAAGCCAUUCUUCCCACAGUGGACAUUUAAAUUGCUCACUCCUUCUGGCUGUUGUGACCAAUGCUCUGGUGAACAUUGACUUUGUUCACAUGCUUGCUUUCAAGAGGGCUAGCACAGAAGUGGAGCUGCUGGAGCCUGUGGUAAGUUGGUGUUUAAUUGUGAGCUGUUUUUCACAACACGAAUGCUUUACGUCCCCACCAGCAAUGUUCAAAGAUUGGACUUCCACUGCCUUCCUCCUCGUCUUUAACAAGGGCCAUUCUGACACUUGGAGUUUAAUCUCUUUUGUUUUCUGGCACUGCUAUGUCUGGCUAUUUUUACAUAACAGGAUAAUACCUAGUGGCUGCAGGUAGCACACACCUUCCCCUCUCACACACCUUCCCCUCCCACACACCUUCCCCUCCCACACACCUUCCCCUUACCACACACCUUCCCCCUCCCACACACCUUCCCCCUCCCACACACCUUCCCCUUCCCACACACUUUCAAAUGUCCCUUGAGAGAAUCGCUGCUCGGGUGAAACGUCAACUUCUGCCAGAUUGUUUUCUUGAUGUCUGAAGGUUUUGUCACUACUGACUGGCACCACAGGAGACAAUAUUCCAUUCUUAGUCUUCUCUCAACCCUUCUUUGAUUCAUUAGGCAAGGAAUGGAGACAGGAGGAUAGGGGAGGAAGAGAGAAGAUGGGUGGAGGAAGGAGAAAUAUUUCAAAAUAUUAACUUGUGUCACGGGAUCUCUCUUGUUGCUUCCUUGUCUUGAGUAAGCCAUUUUGGGAUGUUCCUUUUCUCAAUUGCGAAUUUUUUUUAUAACAAAGCCUUAGGUUUGCAAUACAUCCAUUCAAAGCAGAAGGAAAUAUAUUAGUGAAACGAAUACAGUGAUGAGUGGAAAUCCUACCUGGAGCACUGGGCUGAUCUGACCAUCUGCAUGUCACUGACUGUGACUUGUCAGGUCUUGGGAUGUCACAUGACUUCAUGUAACUCCAUUGGUAAGAAAGGAGAGUCAACUGGAUAACCACUGUUCUCUCUCUCUCUCUCUCUCUCUCUCUCUCUCUCUCUGUCUCUCUCCUUGUAAUAGAAAUUAAUUAAUUGGGAGUUUCUUCCCCACUUUUGAUCAUUCAUAGUCCCAAAAAAGACAGAAAACCUUUAUAUUUACAAGCAUUAAAGCAUCAGAGCUUGGCAGAUAUCAACCAUCUAAGCUAUUUGGUAGCUUAGAUAACCCCCUUAUAACUUGCCACUCUCUGCCUGGGCAGCUCUUACUCCAAUUGGCCAUGUUGUCAUGAUUCACCUACCUCACGGUGUCUUCUCCUCUCUUCACUUAUCUGUUCUCCUCCUUGUGGUCCAAGCCUGGGAACAGAAGCUCUGCCUACCUCUUUUCUGCCCUGCUACAGGCUGUUGGCAUCUUUAUUCAAGCAAUAGUUUUACAUUAAAGAGCAAGGUGAAAUAGCAUCAUUUGGUGUAUGUGAGGAUUUCCUUGUCCCUGAGGCAACCAUAGCCAGAAUUUAUCAUUACAGUACACAGCAACGGACUACACUUCAACACACACACACACACACACACACACACACACACACACUCACUCACUCACACACUGGUGUUUUUCAAGGCAGCGUUUUUCUGGUUAUCCUUAAACUUGCUCUAGAAUUGGUUGGCCUCAAACUCAGGGUUCUACCUGCUUCUGUCUCUCAAGUUGUAGGAUUAAAGGUGUAUGCCACCACCUCUCAAUCCUUGUCUCUUAAAAGUGUGAAACUAAUUUAUUAAUCUCAAGAAUUCAUGUGCUAUAUGAAGGAGUGUUCCAAAAGUAUACAUAUCCUUUUCCUGCAGUGUUUACAAUUUGAGUACCUCUCCUGUUUUUGAAAAACCCCUGGUGUUCAGAACAUCUACUUCCUUAAAUGGCACUCUGAGGAGAGAUCUGGCUACUUUCUAACUACCUCACAUCAGACCUCUGAGUCAGCCUUUUUAUUCGAAAGGCUCUGGAUUUGCCCCAGUCCCAGAUACUGGUAACUAAUAGCUAGGUAGGAUGAGUCACCACAUAAUCCCAGUACCUGGGAGGUGAAAGCACAGGUAUCUAGAGUUCAAUCCUAGCCCCAGCUACAUAGUAGAACUUGAGGUAUAGACAGUUGUAGGCCUCCAUGUGGGCACUGGGAAUCGAACUCUGAUCCUCUGGAAAAGCAGCCAGUGGUCUUAACCACUGAGCUACCUCUCUAGGAACUAUGUUAUAGCUAUGUCUAUAACCCCUACACUAGCUUAUAGAAACUUUUCCCACAUUGCUUACAAUCUGGUGGUAGCAUAAUUUAUUUUUAGAUUAUGGUACUUCUUCAAGUAAUAGAGAACUAUUAAUUAGUAGAUUAGUACAAUAAACAGAAAGGAUAAGUGCAUGAUGAUCCAUCUGUUAAUGUUUUAUUUUCUCAUAUAUUUAUUUAGUUACCCUACUUGGCCAGGCAACUGGCAAGUUUCUUGUUCGUGCCUAUCUGGCUUAACACCUGGUGGAUAGUAGACACUCACUGAAGUUUACAAAACGCAUCUAGGUUAGGUAAAUGGAUUAAUGAACUAACUAAAUGCAGGCUAAUAUAUUUUAAAUAACUUUUUACUUAAACAAUUUUACAGGUAGUAUUGGUAAUUAAUUAUUAAAUGGAUAAUUAUGUCUUUUUAAGAAUCCACUUCCAGGCGUAGUGGUGUGCUCCCUUAAUCCCAGCACUUGGGAGACAGAAGCAGCCAGAUCUCUUAGUUUGAGGCUAGUCUGAUCUACAAAGUGAGUUCUAGGACAACCAGAACUACACAGAAAAGUCCUGCCCCACAUAAAUACAUAAAUGCAUAUCAUACAUACAUACAUACAUACAUACAUACAUACAUACAUACAUACAAAAGAGAAGAAAGAAAUCCACCAAUCACACAAUGGGACAGCUGCCUGAUGGCCUCACAUAACUCUAAAUUAUCUCCUAAGGGUUCCCACCUCCAUUAAUGAAUGACUUUGGAGAUUAACAACAUAUAAUGUUUGGAGGACACAUUCAAAUUACAGCACACCUUCAAGCAUUCUACAACCAAAUUGCCUGAAUAUUGUUGUCAUCCCCCUAUUGUUGUCUACAUUAUUUUUUGAGACAUGGUUUCUCAUUGAACUUGAAGUUCAUCAAUUGAUCUAGGCUAGCUUUUCAAUGAGCUGCAAUGGCUGUCGCCCUGGCACUGGGGUAUGAACCCACAUCUUUUUGCCCAGAUUGCAUGGAUGCUGGAAAUCUGAACUUAGUUCCUCAUUCUUGCAUGGUGGUCACUUAAUGGUGAUGUUACUAUGUCAACUUCACUAGGCUACAAGGAGAUCAAACACCUGGUCAAACAUUAUUCUGGAUUUGUGGAUGAGGGUAUUUCUGAUGAGAUUAGCAUUGGGUUGAUGGACUAACAUUGGUGAAGCUCAUCUAGUGAACCGAAGGUCAGACUUUCCUUGCCUUCUGUGAGUGGCAAUUCCUCUAGACUAGCCUACAAGAUGGAAUGGCAAGGUCUGUUUGGUUGUUUGGUUUUCAUCCCUAAAAUCAAACCCAGUUCUUCCCAAGUCUUGAGCUACCUUCUGAAGUGGAAGCAACCUUUUCUCCAGGGUCUCCAGCUUGCUGACUGUGGAUCUUGGGAUUUCUCAGGUUUACACAGGCAUGUGGGCCAAAUACAUACAGGAAAUGUCUCUCAAUAGUGUUUCUGUUUCUAUGGAGUACAAUGACUAAUGUACAUGACAAAAGGAAUUCCAGUUUUAUCAAGUUCAGCCAUGAAGUAUUAUAAAUGUUUGUAGUAAUGCUUCUAGGGGCUGGGGGGUUAUAUAGUCCUUGUCUAUCGUGUCUGAGUUCCAUCCCAUCACCACGUGAAUUAAACACACCUGUAAUGUCAGGACUGGGGAAGUAAGGACAGGAAGACCGGAAGUUGAAGUCAUUAUCAGAUACAUGAUGAGUUGGAAGGUAGCCUGUGGUGAGAGACUACAGAGGGGGUGGGGGGAGAGGGAGAGGAAAGAAAGGUAAAAUAAAGAAAACAAAGAAAGAAAAACAAAGUUUCUAAAACAAAUGUACCAGAUAUAAACCUGAGGGAAAGCAAGCAUUUAGUAUAAAGGCAGCUUGUACAUAAGAAACCACAUAUAAGAGUUCACACCGCGGCUGUGUGUUACAUAUUGAACUCUACUUUCCUUCACUCUCAUCUUUAAAAGGAAAGCUCUUCCAUGGUAACUGCAUCACUAAAUAGCAGCAGAAAGGUUUGCGCCUCAGCGGAGGGAGGAACCGGUAAGAACAGGAAGGACGUGGGCUCUGAGAUGCUGUCUGCUGCUUGCUCUCAGCGCCUGCUCAUCUCCCUACCCUGCACCCCUCACAGCUCAGCCUCCACUCCUCGGCCAACAGACGGACCACUUAACUGAAUGGCCCAGGCGGUUAUAUCCAAGACCUAGUUUGUCUGCAUUUUUCUUACCCUGAAAUAGCUGCUUUUAUUUAUUUUAUUAUUUAUUAUUUAAUCAGACUAAAUGCUCCUUUGAAUAUGAAAAUGGAGGUGCUAGAAGAAGCAUAUGGAAGCUAAAGAGGAGACAUGGCAAGGUGACGAGGUGAUAGUCUCCUAGAACCCAAGUUAUGAAGGACCACCAUUGGAGGCUUAGGGCACUGAAGAGGCAAAAGAAAAAAGAAAAGAAAGACGUUUUUAGCCUUCAGCCCAAAAAUGCCUUAUUUACUCCCAAUUAUCCCCAGUAUUUAUUACAUAUUUGCCAUGUGCUUGCCAUUAUAUCGACUGAUUUUAAUUCUUCAAAGGACUUGGAAAUUAUUCUCAUAAAUCACUGGCUGAUUCCACUUUUCUCAGCCUUUGCACAAUUUCUAAUCUCAGCACCCAAAAUAACAGACUUUUAAAACCCCUUGCGUACAGGCAGCAUUAUAUCAUCUCUCUAGCAAAAUGUUAUCUGUUAGCAAAGUCAUCGUGUUCCUUUUAAUGCACACACACAAGACAUUUUAGGGUUUUUUUUUAAUUUCUUCCUUCUUACUUACAUUUUUUUUUUGGACCCAAUUGAUAAGAUAUAAUUGCCCACUUAAACAUACAAAGCCCGGUACCAUCCAUCCCUUGAGAACAUUAAUAACAACCUGUAAAUACACAGAGCAGAAUCUUAACAUCACCUGCCAUGGCUUCUCCCCUCUCUCUCCGUCUCUCUCUCCUUUUUCUCCCUUUCCUCGUCUCCUCCUCUUCCUUCAAACUUCUCUCCCGCCCAUCCUUCCUUCUCCUCCAAUGAUACGCCUCCUUCUAUACUGUACCUGCCCCUCACCUGUACUUUACAAAUUCAAUGGGGAGGUGGUUCUGGUGAAGUCACCUGAGUUCUGAGAAUGUGACUAGGCAGCUGUCCUUGGGGCAGUGGAAUUAGCAUCAAAAUACAGAUAACUUCAGGGCAAACCACAACAUUUUCCCCCUUUUUGUCCAGUUAAAAAAAAGCCUUUUCACUCAUAUAUAAUUGGAGUACAAUUAUUACCAUUCUACAAUUUAUAAAGCAUAAGAUAUUCUCAACACCGAGUCCAUCACUAUAUCAGUUAAACAGAACAUUUAGUUAUUCAUUCCAGCUUAAGAAAGGUUUAAAAUCUAUAUUAUAUCUUGGCUAGCUUAUAUACUAUCUGAUAACUAUCCAAUAAAAUAUGUAAAUACAGAGUUAUACAGCCUAAUAGGCUAUGAGACUAUAAUCAGUCUUCAACUCUGUCAGAAAUCUGGGAAUGACCAAAUAUCUAUACACAUAAGAAGCCUAACACGGCUUCCAGAACUGAGAGGUUGUAGAGACAAAUCUCCGCUAGCACAGUCCCCUGUUAGCAACAUGUGAGCGCAAGUCUUCAGCCUUCUGGCCCAAAAUCAACUGACAGACUCUUGAAAUGCAGAUUUUGAAAGGCUGAUCACCCUGUCUUGGCAGGGUUUAUCAGUCAACUAUUCUGCAUAAUUUGUCCUUUUCUGAACAUUAUUAGUCUGCAGAUGAAACAGGCAGUUUUGUCCAGUGGCUGCCUAGACACAAAGGAUUGCCUCACCUGGAGGUAGAGAUGUUCAAAUUCUUCGUUAAAUCCACCAAAGGGGAACUGUUAGGAGCAGAUAUGUCUCAACAAAAGAUAAAUACCUUUAAAUCUCAAAUUUUGUGGAUUUCUGACGUUUUUGAAAACCAUCUAUCUAUAUAAGACAAUCUGGACUGUUAUCUCCAUAUCCUAAAUUUUUUCUUGAAAGUACUCUCACAAACUCAGAGCCAUGACUUUGCUAUUUGAAUCUUAACUCACAGGUGUAAUCAACUCAGAAGUUUGUAAUGACAACAAUAGAAGAACUGGCUCUAAACCUUGUACUUUUAAACUCUUUUGACAAAUAAAUUCUAUAUCAAAACAAAGAUAUAAGCUUAGUUACCAAAUGAGAUUACAACUGUAUAACUCAAUCUAGCUAAUUCCUCCCUGUAAAUUACCAUUUCUAAAUUCCUCAUAAAAACAACUUUAGAAUAACCACUUUCAGCCCCCCAAAGUCCAGGGAAUUGAGACGAUGACUCCUCCAUAACUUCUUCAAGCUGUACAUGGGCAUUGAGAUAUCCUUGGGGGUAUGGGGGUAGGAAGAAUGAAGCAAAUGCUGUAGCCAAUGUAUCCUGACUGGACCCAGUUGAAAGUCCUUGAGACCAGGAAUCCAAGUAGGCACACUCUGUAAAAUACAACUCUCAAGACAAAAGUUUAGAAUCGAGAUAUCUUUUUGUUUGAUUCUCCUGAAUAAAAUUUUCAGGCGGUCUACCUCUAUCAAAUCUGAUCAGUAUGACUCUGUGAGGUUUCCAGAGCCUCAUCACACUUUUUAAAAACACAAAGACAAAAUCUUUCUCCCAAAAUACUGUGUUCCUUAGUCUGAAACUAGAAAAGCUUGUAUCUUGCACUCUCUGCCAGAGUAAUAAUAUAACCAUAAAAGUCAAAGUCACACCCAUCAUGAAGACUAAACAAAUUUUUAAAAAGGAAGUAAGCUAAACAAUGAGCCUGAUAGGCUUUUGUACUCUAUGAUAUCAGGAAAUGAACCCAAAAUUCCCGUUAAGAGAAUUCGAGCUUCCUGUUGUGGUAAAUAUCAAAAGUAACCACAAACCCUUACUAGCCGGCAUCAAUGAGCCACAUGGCCUUUAGCGGGGUAAUUCAUAAAACAAACCAAAUACCUUUUAUCAAUUCCAGUAUCAAUAUGCAACACAUCAAACCAGGACUUUAGCCCAAAAUAUCUCAAUCUGUCAAACUCUCUACUCGGAGCCACAGAUUUUUAUUUAACCUUAACAACUUCUAUAAUAUAUGUCUGCAUUCACUCUGCCUGGUGUUACAGACAUUUCAUCACAACUCUCUACUUGGAGUUAGUGACUAAUUUUUCCCUAUCUGAGUUCCGAACCAUAGAUGAAAAUCCCCACCUGAUUCAGGUAAUCUCUUUACUCUCUUCUUUCUAAAAACAAACUCAAUCACCUUUUAAUAAUACCUGUAAUUAAGAAGUAGCUUGUUUAACUAGGAUUUCAACCCAAAAUUCCCGUGGAGCCCAUGUUAAAAAGAAUAUGAGUAUCCUGAAAGACUUUCUAAACAACUUUCUUUAAAAAACAGCUUUAAAUCUCUGACUCUCUGGUCUGCUAUUACUUCUCACACAGCAGGGGACCUACAGCCUGCCAGCCCAGGUGGCUUCCCCUUUCUUUGUUUGAAUUCCCCUGCUUAAGAUAUCACAUGACUUAACAUGGCGCCAGCCUCCUUUUACUUAGAAAAUAAAAACUUUCUCUCAACUCUUAGGAUUACUAGUGGAUUCUUGCCCAUCACCUUGGCUCGCCAUCUGUUGUUGUAAAAAUAUAAAAAUAAAAAGUAUUGUUGGUCUUUUACCCCGCUGGGUCUACACCUCGGUGCCCCAAGAUAUCUGCUAGAUAUCUUGGCGGAAACAAUCCCAACUCCAUGGCGGCCCAGACCAGUCGCCCCACACUCCAUUACAUUACUUAAAUCUACACAUUAAAGAACACACAACACAAUAAUCUUUGACUCAAUUGAUAAGAUAUAAUUGCCCACUUAAACAUACAAAGCCCGGUACCAUCCAUCCCUUGAACAUUAAUAACAACCUGUAAAUUCACAGAGCAGAAUCUUAACAUCACCUGCCAUGGCUUCUCCCUUACUUACAUUUUAAAGAUUAAAAACCAACAAAAUUUUCUAUUUCAGUUUAAUUCAUACCCUUUGAUCAUGGGGCCAAAUGUAUCUACAUUUCUAUUGCUGACAAAGGAUUUGCUUUUUUCAUCAUAACAUUUUUAUUGAUUUCUCUGGGAUUUUCACCUCAUGUGCCCCGAUCAUAUUCACGUCAUAGUCCUUCCGUGUUUGCCGCCCCCCCCCCCGCGCGCCCACAACCCUUGUGACCCUCCCCAAAGAAGUAUAAAUAAAGAUAAGAAUGAAACAAACACAGAAGUCUAAUUUGUGUGAUCCAUAUUCUCAUCGGAGCGUGUCCAGACUCUCAGCGGCCAGCCCCUUAAACUGAGCACACACUCUUUCCCUCUUCACCCUCUCCAAGAGGCCUUCAAUUGUGAAGAGCCACACUUGGGCAUCUUAAGACUUUUCUUUCCUGGCUCCCUCUAUAGGCUUUAACUUUUUUGUAGUGGUGGUGGUCGGACGUAGGAGUAGGUGGGGGUCGGACGUAGGUGUGGGUAGGGAUUGUCCCAGAAACCUUCGCAGCUCUUCCCAACCGCAAUGUCUGUCUGCAGUCAUCUCUGUCACAGCAGAAGCACUGCCCCCACCUUGCUCUUUACAGUCACUUUACAGUCUUUACAGAGCACUGACUCUCGAUGGUCUCUGGUGGUAGCUCAGGCUUACAACAUGGCUGCCAGCUGCAGUGGGACCAUGGAAUCAGAUCCGGUCCUCAGAGGCAGCCUGGACCAUGAACAUCAACCUGGCCCAGGUGGCAGGGAGGCGUGGCCUCCUGGGGCGGCACAGCCCACAAGCACCCACACGGUCGGUCCCACAGCUCUGACAUCCACAUGGUCUUUGGUAACAACAUGGGCCAUUGACUUCAACACAGCCUCAGAAGUAGCAGGACCAUGGCACAAAGUUUUCUUUAAUUCACCAAUAUUUCAUGAGAUUUAUUCAUUUUAAUUACCUUUUGAUAUUCAAAUAUAAAUAUAUCUAACAUUUAAAUACUGCUAAAUAUGCUCUAUUGUUAAUAGUUAGGAUGCUUGUAGAAGCUCUCACAACACUAAAAAAAAUAAAAGUAAAAAAAUCUUUGUCCUUAACUCAGGUAAUUUCAUUGAGAAGUAACCACAUUAAAUGGUAACUACGUUAAAUAAAUAAAGGGAAAUGUCAUUUGACUUCAUUAACGUUGCAUAAAACAAAAACUCAUGUGAGUACAUAAAUGUCCUUGUAAAGUACAUUUAAAGGGGAAAAUGGUAAAUCUAAUUCAAGUCUUUGUUACUUAAUUUGCUUUGGGAGGAGAAUGAUUUGUCUUUUUACAGACAUUAUGAACACAUACUACCGAUACCAGACCGCUUGAGAAAAAAUACAAGAUUCCUGUGAGCUGAUUUCAGACCUUACAGUGAACUCCAAGAGCAAAGCCCGUAUAAUAUGUAGAUCUGACUUAAGACCCAGUGCAUGUCACAGAUACCCACUGUAUGGUUUUGUACUUGCCAAAAGUCUGCUAACAGCCCCCGAUGUCAGUCUUGUCAACUGUACGUUUUUAAUCGGCAUGGAAAGGGAGCUCUAUGGAAAAAUCUACUUCAGGUUAAUUGAGAUAGAAAGAUGCGCCUUAAAUGUACCUACUACCAUCCCAUGAGCUGGAGUCCUGAACUGAAUAGAAAGAGAAAAGCAAGCUGAGCCCAUUCAGCUUUCUCUGCUUCUUGACCACAGAUAUAACAUGGCCUGGGGAUUGGGGAUUGUGCCUUGUCCCCUCUGUUGAGCUGUACCCUUGGGAAUCCUGAACCAAAAUAAACCCUUCCUUCCUUAGCUUGGUUUUAUCGGGUGUUUGGUCCCAGCCACACUUAACUAGACUACCUUCUUCUCCUGUAACAAUUUACAUACCUGGUAAACACAUAUUGGGGUGCUCUCCAGUGAUAUCAGAAAACAAAGAUCAAUAUUCAGAGAGUGGUCAGAUCAUAAACAGGAACCAAACUCAUUUUGUCUGAGUUUUCUGCCUUGGCAGAGAUACCUUGUCUCUCCUGCAGAAGACAGAGUAUGGAAAACCAUCACGUUUAAUGGAGAGGGGGCAGUAGCAUCUGUAUACACACAGUUGGGUUCCAUGUAGCUCAAAAGCAGAAGUUCCUAGCACAUUGUGCCCAGUAGUGGAACGCUGGCCUUGUUUAGUAGUAACAGUGCAGUACAACCACUGAUCUGAGCUGGAAAACAGCUCUUCCCUCUGUUCCCUCUUCCCACAUGAGCUAACUCCUUUUGUGUAAGAACUCCAGAGACACAGGAGGGUUUCUUCUCCCUUCUUGAAGUUUUCCCUUGGCUAGCACCUUAUGGUAAGGGUAGGAUUCAGAAAAUGAAUAUUUAUCUGUCAUUCUUUUUUCCUCUUAGAGAACCCGGUCACACCGUGGAGCCUGGACUGACCUUGAACUAGAAUCCUCAUCCUCAUGAGCAUGCUCAUGUGUAUCUGGUUCAUUCUUCUUUAGACAAUAUCCCUCUCACCAGAUGAAAACUACCAUCAAUAUCCAUCAAUUACCUAAUUAAAAAUCUUAAAUACACGAAACCUGAUACCUUGCCAAUUUGAUGGAUUACUAAUCAUUUUUUUUGGUUCUUUUUUUCGGAGCUGGAGAUCAAACCCAGGGCCUUGCGCUUCCUAGGCAAGGGCUCUACCACUGAGCUAAAUCCCCAGCCCCAUUACUAAUCAUUUUUAAGGAACACAUAUAAUUUUAAUACCUUGCACAGUUGGGAGAUUGUUGGAUAAAUUGGAGAAGUUUCUCUUUUCUUUAAAAGCCAAAUGUAUAGCAAUGAAACAUUCUAUGUUUAGCUUCUAUUACCAUUUGACAGUUUUAUGACAAAUUAUAAGUCUAUUAUAUUGUUUGAAUUCCUAAAUAGUCAAUCAACUACAAAAAAUAUACUGGAAAAGGUUUUUUCUUCUUUUGCCCUUAUUCUGUGGACAAUCUGAGCCUUUAAUAAUUACUCUUAAAAGGCCUCGCUCAUUUUCCAUGGCCCAUAACCAGGAUCCAAGAUAGUAUUCCAUUUCUUACUCCUGCAGUCCGCCUUGAGUGACUUCCAAGCUAAAUAAGAUGAAAAGCCUUGGGCAGUCUGUGUUUAUGCAUGGUGGAUCACUGAACUGAGUACCAUUUCUGAGCCUCUUCUUAUGCAGCUCCUGCACACACCCCCACCCCCUUCUCUACGGACAAAAGACAGCUUUUUGAGCACCUCAACAGAACAUGGUCCUCAGGUCUUCAUUAAAACAGCUGUGAUGUUGCUGUCUCUGGAUGCAAAACAUUUGCUUUUAUAAACAGCUUGUCCAAUAAGGAGUAGGUAUGGUCCACACAUCGUGUCUUCUGUAUGCCUGGACACACACACACACACACACACACACACACACACACACACACACUGCACAAUUCUCCUCUUAUGUUAGUCAGUAACAGAAUGGAGCAAAGACAUACUCCAAGAAACAGUCAGAACCACAGUGUCCCUUUUGUGAUAGCAUACGGUAGAGGGACUAACAUGGUAUAGGAAAUGGUCCAUUCUGUCUCUAAGAGUGGCCCUCCAGGCACAGUCAGAAGACAUUCUUUCUCUAUUUCCCCCACAGAUAAAUGCUAGCUAGUCCCCUACCACAUGCUUGGUAUGCAGUGAAUGUUCAGUAAACGACUGUCUGUGCAUGGAUUCAAGAAGGUGGAUUUUUAUGGGCUGGAAUUAGGCUAACACAUCUGAGGAAAACACUGUCUGACUUAGCAUCUAGACGCCAUUCCUCAGAUUUAUCUAUAACUCCACCUUUGCAAAGCCUUUUUGUGUCUAAUCACCUGCAGAAAAUCUCUUUUGCCACCCACUCUCUUACAAUUUAAAAAUUAAAAGGCCCUUUGGAUAUUUUAAAAUAUUCUCUUGGACAGAAUUUCAAGUCUUGCUUAUUUGCCUGUCUCCAUGUAAUAACUGCAGAACUGGAACACACGCAGUUUUCAGAAUCCAGGUCCAAUGGGGCUAAAGCAGAGUUGGUCACGCUAGAGAUACUAAAUCUCAAUGGGCUGUUUUAACAAUGCACUGCCCGAGGCGGAUAUUUAGCUCCAUCUGAGAACUAUAGGCAAACAUUCCAGUUUUCACCUUUACCAACUUGUGGAAAGAUUCUUCCAAAAUACACAAAAAUCCAGGCUUGGGUGACUGGCAAUUCUGUCAAUAAGCUCAGAUUUUUCUCCCCUCCCCAUGCUCUCAUGAACCCCAGGGCAGCAGUUAACAAGACAAAACCAACUCUCCCUCUCUCCUUCUUCCUCGUCUCCCACCAUGUUACAUUAGUUCAGUUGUAAUCUAAUGCAGUGGGUAGCAAUUUGGGUUAAAUUCUAUUCAUGUUAGUGGCAAAAAUAAAAAUGGCCAAAUUCUAGACCAAGGCCAAGAAACUAGACAAUGUGUUUCUUUUUGACAGUAAGAAAAUUAUUAUUUCUCCCACCCAGAGAAACGGCUCAGUGGAUAAAGACUCUGGCCACUGAGACCCAUGAUAGGAGUUCAGUCCCCAGGAUACACAUGGUAGAUGGAAAUACAUCAAGUUGUCCGCUAACAUCCACACACAAACUCUGCACCUACACCCGAACACACACAAAAUGAUGAUCAUCGUGAUGAUGGUGAUGGUGGUGGUGGUGGUGGUGAGCUGGAGAGAUGACUCAGCAGUCAAGAGCACUGACUGCUUUUCCAGAGGACCUGGUUUUCAUUUCUAGCACCCACAGAGCUGCUCAGAACCAUUUGUAACUUCGGUUCCAGGGAGCAACAUCCUCUUCUGGGCUCUGAGGGUCCCAUGCAGGCACGUGAUAAACAGACAUGCUUACAGAUAAAACAUCCCUACACAAAAAUAAUUACUAGGGAAUAAAUGUCUCUUUAAAAAUAGAGAAAAUACCUUUACUAGAAUGACUGUUCACAAAAUGUAAGUGCGUGGUACAUUCCUAUCAUCCCCAAGAUUCAGGGGGUUGGGAAAGAGGAUUAGGAGAUCAAAACCAGUGUUGGCCACAUAGCAAGACCCUGUCUGGGGGAGUGUGGGGAGAUGAUUAGAUGUUUACUCAGACUUAAACCAGGGCAUAGAGAAAAUUCACAUACAGAUGAAUAAAACUAUUUGUCUUUCAAAAGGGGUUUUUUUAAUUGCUUAUAUAUACACCAUAAGAGACUUAAAAAUGCCCAAACGAUGUAGAAAAUUCUCAGCUUUUUAAUUUCAACUAUAGAUAUUAUUGUUCUCUGUCCCAGCCAGGUAGCAGCGGUGCACGCCUUUAAUCCCAGCAUUCGGGAGGCAGAGGCAGGUGGAUCUCUGUGAGUUCCAGGCCAGCUUAGUCCAUAGAGUGAGUUCCAGAACAGCCAGAGCUACACAGAGAAACCCUGACUCAACAAAACAAACAACAACAACAAAAAACAAAAACAAAAACAAAAAGAACGAAAGAAAAUCAAACAAACAAAAAACAAAAUAAAAAACAGAAAAACUAAACAAUAGAUCUUGACUUCCUCACUUUGGGCUUCAGCUGAUACUUGUCUUUGGUCAUUCCAUUUAUGUCUGUCCUGACUCUGCUGCUGCUGCUGCAGCUGCAGCUGCUGAGCCUAACUGGCUCUGCCCACUUGAAGCCGCCCCAGGAGCAGCUCCGGGUCCUGGAUAUCACCAUUGGGCUCACUUCCUGCUUCAUGCGUUGUCUUCAGUCUGCGGGCUGGGUCCUGUCACACCUGGAGGGCUAUGAGAAGCUGUUUCCCCCUCAUCCUUUGACUAGACCACCUUGAUCACGUUUCCUGCAUUCCUGGCUGGGAUUCCCUGGGACCAUGUUAUUCAAUUCCAGUCACCUUUUCUGCAAUCAUGACCUCUCGAUGUCUCCAUGGUGACAACUGGGACCACAUAUAUUGGUUCUAUAUAUAUAUUCCCCCUUUGUAACAAUAAAGUCUAUUUAAACCUUGAAAAAAAACCAACAACAAAGCACUGUCCCUUGUCCCACUAAUAGCACACCCAAUUUUUGAACAGAGGGAGCAGAAUGGGUAGCUGAUAACAUUCAGAAGCAGAGAUACUGAAUCGUUUUGUUCCUAUGGCCAUUCGUGGGCAAGGUAACUAUAGCAACUUGGUUGCAUCAAAUGAAUAUUGCCCUAUUUUACUUCAAAUUAGGUAAAUAAACAUAGCGUUUCAGAAUUACGGAAUUAGCCCUCACUUGUCACAUUGAACAUGCCCAAUCUCAGAGUAUAAAUUUUCACAUUUUAGCAAUGCUAGAAUGUUUAAAUUGAUUAUUAUUCAGUAUACUUUUUUUGCUUAAUCUAAUAACAAGAGCACUAUUGUGUCAAACAUUACAAAACCAAAUGUUAUAAUUCCGUUGUAGAUAUUUUACUUAUUUAGAUGCAGUACUAGGGAGAGAGAUCUAGUUAAGCAUUGGGACUCUUUCUAGAAGUUUAUUUCAAAUAUGUAUCAGAGCUGCCCUCCCCCUCCACACACAUCAUUCUCCUAAGUGACCCACUCGCACCAAGAUGCCUUGUGCUGGAAACUGGGUAGCAGUGCUGUGUUGCCUUGAGAGCUCUGUCCGAGGUUCCAGCCCUGAUUCUUCCGUUUGAUAGCAUCUGCCCAGCUGCAAGACAGUGCGAAAGUCACGUGACUGGUAACCAAAAGGCCUGGGCGGUUUGCUCUUCCGUGGACUGAGCAAUGGUUGCUGGGAUUGCUCACUUGGAUUCUCCUCCUAGGAUGGGAUGUAACAUAUUCCAUCUGACGCACUCAAGGCAAGAAAAGAUAUCAUGAUUAAUUUGACAAAUGACCCCAAAACCCAGCCCUGCUGCUUGGGAAUUUUCCCCUUGAGUGCUUUGCUUAGAACAAGUUUAUGUAUCAAAUAAGAAAGAGACUUGUUUCAUUUGACCACAGAGUGUAAGCAUGCUGACGUUUCACAAGAGGUUUCUUCUUUUUAAGCCCAUUUCUGUUCCUUCCUUCUUCUCUUCCUCCCCUCUUCUUCCUCCUCCCUCCCUCCUCCCCCCACCCCUUCAUCCCACCCAUGAAUGUUUAACGCAGAAGAAAGCAGUCCUAGGUUUAGGCUCAUACCAAAUCACCUGUGUUGCUGGUCAUUUUCCUUUUUAAUGAAAAGAACGUUAUUCUCGAAACCAAGAAGAAUGUCCGUUUUCACACGCAUCAGAAGGUAAGCUAUAUAUGUUAUGCAUGCGCACGUGGAAAUCGUGGAGAUAUAGAAUCAUUUCCUGCUCUGACCAGUUUUUUACCACAUGCACUUCGGUAGCACCAAUUCAUAUUAUUCUGCAAUAAUCGCCAUUACCCAGAGCCAUUUCGUUUUCCUAAACUGGAAUUUUAAACCACUAAACCAUAAAUACUAAUUCCCUCUCCUCCCAUUCAGUUCUCUGUGGAUUUGACUAAGGACUCUCUAUAUAUAAAUAAAAUUAUACAGCCUUUGUCUUCUUGUUAAAGCUUAUUUUACACAACAUUAUGAUUUUUGAGAUCCACAUGUGUUGAGAGGGUGAAGGGAGUUAUGUAACACUAUGGCCUUAAUCUUCAUACUGGCUUUUGAGUUAUUAUUAGGAAGUAGAGGGAAGAAAUUAUUUAGAACAGGAAGGCAAAAAAGAUUCAUGGGCUAGUAUGAACACUGCUGCUGUGAGUGCCACUGGAUGAAUAUCUUUUCAGGUCCUGAUUUCACUUCUUUUAGUCUUUCAAAAUCUUUCUUUUAUUAUUUACAUGUAUUUUUAUGUGUGCACUAUGUGUUUGGGGGCACACAGGUAUGUGGGGGUAAGAAGGCAACUUUGUGGAAUCUGUUCUUUCUUUGAACCUUUCUGUGGGUUCCAGGAAUUGAACUCAGAUCAUCAGGCCUGCUGGGCAAACAUCUUAUUUGAUGAGCCAUCUUGAUGUCCCCUAAAUUGAAUGAUUUGGUCUUUUACUAUGAAUAGGAUUGCUGGUUCGUAUUGUAAUUUCAUUAAGCAGUUGUCAUUUUAUUUUUGAGACACUCUCACUGUGCCAUCCUAAAUGGACUGGAACUGUCUGUGUGGAACAAUCUAGCCCCGAGUUUAUGGCAAUCCUCUUGCUUUGACUUCCAGAGAGCUGACAUACUCAGCAAUCCAUUUUAAGUUUUGAGAGAAUUAAAAACCGUUUCCCCAGUAGUUACAUGAUCUCAUUUGGCUCCAGAUAAUGCAUGAGGCUUCUACUUUCUCUGCAUACUCUCCAACACUUGUUAGUUUUCGCUUUUUUAAAAAAAGAAGAUUCAUUUAAGAGCUGGACAUGGUGACUCACCCAGCUCUCAGGAGGCAGAGGCAAACAGAUAUUUGAGUUUGAGGACAGUCUGACCUACAAAGUAAGUUCCAGGAUAGCCAGGUCUACACAGAGAAACCCUGUCCCCAAUAAAACGAACAAAAAAGGAGGUCAUCACAAGAGUUUAAACUUCAACGUCGAGCUGACUCCAGAGCCCACUCUGGUUUCAAAAUUAAUCAGUUGAUUAAUUAAUGAAAAUAGGUACCAUCCCAAAUGGUGUAUAUGCUCACCUUUUCCCUCUAAGGGAUCAAUUCUAGGGAUUUAAUUUCUCCUUCUUCCUCUCCCUCUCCUUCCCUCUCCCCUCUCCUCCCCCCUUUCCUCCUCUUCCUCUCCCUCUCCCCCUCUCCCUUGCCUGCACAAUCGAAAAGUCCCACUCGACUCCCUGCCCAGCCACUGGCUCUACAGCAAUUCUUUAUCACCAAUCGAAGACAGCUGGGAGCAGGGACCCUCAGUUUUGGAAGUACAGCUUUUAGAAACCAAAUUAGACCAAGCAUUAGAACCAAUUCUCAACAAUCAACAUACUGGUUUUUAACAUCUGGAAAACAAUACUUCGACAGAAGAAAAGAACCAUUCUGGUACUGUACCUUAACCACCAUCAUUUGUCCUUCAUCUGGUGGUGAUCUGUUUCAUCAAGACACUGCAGUUAGCAAAGCUUCCAAGCUUUCUGAAAACACCUAACACAUUCUAUCCUAUGUUCUAUGGAAUACCAUAACCUGUUUAUUUGACUCAUUGUGAUGAGCAGGAAAUACUUAAAAAUGAAUGUUUUUUCCAUUACCUUCUGCCCCAUCACUUUACUCAUAAUUUAGUGCAUUUCCAAACCGUUAGAGAAGCUGCCUCAGUGGAUGGAGAUUAACAUGGAGACCAUCAGCUGUACAACAUGUAAAGCUAGGAGACUGCAGAGUUCUCUGUCCUAAGUGGGACAUCUAUGCCAUACUUGCAAGGCUCAAGGAUCAUCAUGGAAGAAGGAGCCAAAAGACUGUAAGAUAUAGAGGCAGUAGAUGGGUAUAUCAGAAUAUUUUCAUUCUCAAAUAUGAACUCACAAUUGUCACAGCAUGCACAAGAACUAGCCAAGACCAAGCCUAGACAAAAAUCUCAGCUUGGAGCGGGAAGGAGAUCAGGAAGUCCCACUCCUAGCUGAGGAGUUAUUGAUAAUUGGUAUUUGCUAGCAGAGAAGUGCAUCUUUUUUAAGGGUCUGGCUUUUUGAAGGGUGACCAUAUUUCAAUGGAUGGCACAAUGCAAUUGAGCUUCAUGGGCCAUUUUAAAAAAAGUGGGCUAGAGAGACGACUUAAUGAUCACUUGUUGAUCUUCUAGAAGACCUGGGUUUGAUUCCCAGAACCCACCUAGUGGCUUCUAAACAUCCACAACUCCAGAUAUAAGGAAUUCGACACCCUCUUCUGACCUCCAUGGGUAGCGGGCAUGCAUAUGUUAUGCUUAUGUACAUGCUCAUCCACGUACGUACACGUAAAAUAAAUCCAAGCACCCUUGGGUGUUUUGUUUUGUUUUGUUUUGUUUUGUUUUGUUUUGUUUUGUUUUGUUUUGUUUUUGAAGCGGGGGAGGCAUAGAGAUGGGAUGAAUCUGGCAGGAGUUAAGGAGGUGAGUAUGGGGAAAAUAUAAUCAAAAUACAUUGUAGAAAUUCUCAAAUAAUUGAUAAAAAUGCUUUUUAAAAUGUGGUAGGAAACUUUAUUUUAUUCUGCACAUAACUGGGAUUUGAUGCUUUGUGUGUCUGGAUGAUGCUUAAAACAAGUCUAAGUGGAUGAAUAGUUUGAGAUUCUUACAAAAUCAUGUGGAAGGGCCACUCCCCAUUGUGCCCCUUCCUUAACUUUAGAAAAUUUUACAAUCUGCUCAUUGUGUUCCUUGACCCCUUCUCAACUCAACAUUUACCUCUUUGCUCUUAAGUUCCAGCUCAGCUGCUUUUUACACCAGCAACUCAGCUGUCCUACUUAUUUCUUUAUUGUUGUCACUGAUCUGUUGGGCACAAUAUCAGUCGUAUACUCUCAUAAUUAUAUGACAAGACUAGUUCACUUAUUUCUUUUCCCUACCCUUUUCAAACUCCCAACAUUCAUUGUAAUUUGGUAUUUCAUGAGUCCAGAAAACCAUUGGGGUUCCUUGAUAUGAACACAGGACCACAAAACACUGGAAUUUAGGGGACAUGGGGACACCGAGGAAAGCAAAUGCCAGUUAGGUUAAAGGGCUUAUUCAGAGUUGAUGAGCACCAGGUCAGGAAUGAGAAGUUAUAGUUACUGAUUCCAGGUGCCUUUGCUCCACAUGUCUCUUCUCAUUGGCAAAAGCCCAUAGUGGUGACUGAUACCAGACAGAGCUAUGAAGAGAUUGCAUUCCAAGAAUACAAGCAUGUGGUUAAAACCAUAUCCAGGAAGGGCCCUCAACCCCGUCUGUGUACCCCAGGGCUGAUAAAUGUGUCUUUCUUAGAGCAGAGUAUUCAUGUCAAAGCAGAGAGUAAAUACACGUUCCUAAGACUUCAGUCAGCCUACCUCAAACUAUUGAUCCUGCCUUUUCUUUUAUUUACCUCCUAUUGUUCAGUAGAUAUUCUAUGCUCUUAUUAGUUUAUUGUAAGUGUCAGAAACUAGACUAUAAACCCCUGGGGAGUAGAGCCUUUGUCAACAUCAUGGAAGUUGACUCCCAAGUGUCUGAAAUAGUUCGUCAGAAAUAGAAUAGGUACAGACUCCAAGGCAUCAUGCUAUUAAAUCAAUAGUAACAACUUUACAAAGGAUAUAUAAACCACAGAACUGACAGAUUAGAUCUUAACUAAAGCUUCACUGUCUAAUACAGUAACCAUGAGCUACAUGUAGUCAUUAAGUACUUGAGAUGCGGCUAGUGUGAAUAAAAAAUGUGUUUCCCUUGUUUUGAUGUGACAUCAAGUCUUCCAGGCAUGGCAUGUGUCCUGGUUUCAUUCUGUUGCUGUGAUAAAAUACCCUUUAAAAAACAGCUUAGGGGAGAAAACAUUUAUUUUAGCUCAUAACUCCAGGUUACAGUCCAUUACUGUGGGGCAGUUAUAGAAGCAGGAACCUGAGACAAUCGGUCACAUCCCAUCCCAUCAAGAGCAGAGAAAAAUGCAUGUAAGAAUGCUUAAUGAGGGGUUGGGGAUUUAGCUCAGUGGUAGAGCGCUUGCCUAGCAAGCGCAAGGCCCUGGGUUCAGUCCCCAGCUCCGGAAAAAAAAAAAAAAAAAAGAAAGAAUGCUUAAUGACUACCUUUCUCUACUUAAAGAGUUCAGGGCUCCAAACCAGAGAAUAGUUCUGUCCACUUCCAGGCUGGUUCUUACCGUACCAGUUAAAAGGCAAUCAGAACUACCUCGCAACUACGUGCUCACAGAUUAACUUGUUCUAGACAGUCACUCACUGAGACUCUUCCUAGAUGAUGCUAAGUCGUGUCAAGUUGAGAAACCAUCACAGAAGAAUGUUUUUCCUUUCCUUUCCAACCUGAUACAGAUAUGUCCUCUCUUUCCUCCUUCCCUUCUUCCUUCCUUAUUCCCUCCUGACCUGUUUUCCUUCCUUCCAUCCCUCCUUCUCUACCUUCUCUGUUUUCAUGUCUCUUACUGUAUGUUUGGAAUUAAACCUCAGAACCGCACAUGAGCUAGACAAUCUCUCUACCACUGACCCACACUCUCAGUACUCAGUUCUUGGUUUGUAUUUUAGCUAUAGUGUCCCCAAACCAAUUACAUCUCGUGUGACAAUCUGUUGGUGGACUGUCAUGGCUUUUUUUUUUCACAUAUGACAGUUUCUUUUUUCAAGUCUUCUGCAUUCACUCUGCUUCCUGAAGAACUAUUCACAAGAACACUUCCAGACUUUCAGGAAUAACCUGAUGUUUGGUCAUAUGCCAUGGGGCAGCCAGUAGCCAGGAGACCUCUCAGUAAAAAACUCUUCUGAGUCAGGCAUAGUGGCACAUGUCCUUGUAACUCCAGCACUUGGGAGAAUGAAGCAGGACAAUUUAUGUUAGCUUGAGGGUAGCCUGCACUAUGUAGUGAUUUUCAAAGUCAGUCUAGGCUACAUACUACAAAACAAGUCCAUAUGUUGAACAAAACAGUAUAAAACAGACAGAAAGACAGAGACAGAAAGACAGGAAGACAGACAGAGAAACAGAAAUAGAGAGACAGAGAAACAGAGACAAAGAGACAGAGAUAGAGAGACAGAAAAACAGAGAAACAGAAACAAAGAGACAGAGAUAGAGAGACAGAAAGACAGAGAAACAGAAACAAAGAGACAGAGAUAGGGACACAGAAAAAGAGACAGAGAGAAACAGAAACAGAUAGAUAGAGGCACAGAGAGAAACAGAGAAAUAGACACACACACAGAGAUCGAGACAGAGACAGAGAGAAAGAGAGAGACAGAGAGACAGAGAGAGACAGAGAGAGAGUUGAGCCUGAUAUGGCUGUGACUCAAUUCUUUUUUUUUUUUUUGGUUCUUUUUUUCUGGAGCUGGGGACCGAACCCAGGGCCUUGCACUUCCUAGGCAAGCGCUCUACCACUGAGCUAAAUCCCCAACCCCCUGUGACUCAAUUCUUACAGUAAAUACGCCGUGCUCAACAACUAUGAAACACCAACCUUAAAUCUGUGUUCUUUGCUCCCUUCUGCAACACAGGCUGCAGGUAUAAUGUUCUGUAAUAAGUAUAAUGUGUUGUUUAUAAAAAUGCAUGGAAAAUUAUUAGAAUUAUCUUUUCAGUGUUUCUUUAAUAUGACUCCUGUCAGCCCUCAGCUCUUACAAGUAUUUAGAAAUGGCUUGCUCAGCAGUCUUCCAAAGUUUCCUCUGAUAUUCCAGAGACCUCACUUUGGAAGUUCUGAGCAGCCAUAGAGCAGGGAGCUCUCCCCACCCCAGAACAAGACAAAACCAGGAAGUAUUUAUAGAGUCACUUGAUUCAUGGCAGAUGUGAGAAUUCCACUUUUCUUACAAAGAAGACAAGGAGCCUGUUACACGAGAAUAACAAACAAACAGCCAUAGGGUACCGAAUGUCAACUCCAGGCUUAUGAUAAAAGAGCUAUUUGAGUUAGCAGUGAACUCUGCUGGUAGAACGCCUGCCAGACAUUCAGGAAUAACUUGAUGCUUGGUCUGAGUGUCCCUAGCCUAUGGCUCUAUGCCAUGGGGCAGCCAGUGGCCAGGAGACUUGUCAGUGAAAAAUGCUUCCGAGUCAGGCAUAGUGGCACACAUCCUUGUACCUCCUGCACUUAGGAGAAGAUGUGGGUUCAGUUCCCAAUGCUACAUAACCUGGACACCUGUAAGCUCAGAACUCAGAGGGUAGAGACAGGAGAAUCAGAAGUUCAGUCAUUUGUGACUACCAAACAACUUGUCUUAAGUUUGACUUAAAUGUUUCAUAAAAUAGACAUGAAUUCAACUGUAUUUAUUCUUCUUUUGGGUUGCCGGACCACAUGUCACAGAUAUGACAUAGUUUCUGAUUUUCAGAGUUUUUAAAUGCCAAGAAGACAUAGGAUGGCACCUAUUUCAGGAAAUGCAGUUUGCAAUAUGUACCACAUUUAACAUAAUGGGGGGGGAGCAUGGAAUUAGCCUCAGUUUCUUUUAAGGUUUGUAGUAGUAAAUGCCACUGUCUCAGACUGUUUGUCCUGCUAUAAAAAAAAUCACUGAGUUUAAAUUAUUCAUUUAUAAAUUACAUAAAUCUAUUUCACACCAUUUAGGGGACUUGGAGCUCCAAGUUCAAGACACCAGCAGAUCUGGUGACUGCUUCCAAGGUGAUCUUUAUGCUGCAUCCUUGGGAGCAGACAGACAACCUACUCACAUUGUUGUCUCUCGGAAGUAGAGCACUUACUCACAUACAGGAGUCUGUAGGCUCAAUUCCCAUUAUGGAGAGAAAGAAAGGAAAAAGAAAAGAAAGUCUUUCCUAGAACAGCAUUGACUCUGUCAAACUCAUUUUAUCUUUAAUUGAAUGUAUUUAUUGUACUUGUGUAGCUGAGUUGCAAGCCAGGAGUGAGCAAGUCAGUAAGCAGCACUCCUCCUUAGCAGACCAAUAAACAGCACUCCUCCAUAGACUGCUUCAGUUCCAAGUUCCUGCCUUGAAUCUUUGCCCUGACUUCCCUCACUGGCAGGGUGUGACCAGAGUUGAAAAACCCCACCCAGCUGCCGUCCACCUGUACAGCCAGCAUAGAAAAGCUCUCCAAGAACACUCCUCCAUUGUUGGUGGGGUUGCAGACUGGUACAACCAUUCUGGAAAUCAGUCUGGAGGUUCCUCAGAAAAUUGGACAUUGAACUGCCUGAGGAUCCAGCUAUACCUCUCUUGGGCAUAUACCCAAAAGAUGCCCCAACAUAUAAAAAAGACACGUGCUCCACUAUGUUCAUCGCAGCCUUAUUUAUAAUAGCCAGAAGCUGGAAAGAACCCAGAUGCCCUUCAACAGAGGAAUGGAUACAGAAAAUGUGGUACAUCUACACAAUGGAAUAUUACUCAGCUAUCAAAAACAAUGACUUUAUGAAAUUCGUAGGCAAAUGGUUGGAACUGGAAAAUAUCAUCCUGAGUAAGCUAACCCAAUCACAGAAAGACAUACAUGGUAUGCACUCAUUGAUAAGUGGCUAUUAGCCCAAAUGCUUGAAUUACCCUAGAUGCCUAGAACAAAUGAAACUCAAGACGGAUGAUCAAAAUGUGAAUGCUUCACUCCUUUAAAAGGGGAACAAGAAUACCCUUGGCAGGGAAGAGAGAGGCAAAGAUUAAAACAGAGACUGAAGGAACACCCAUUCAGAGCCUGCCCCACAUGUGGCCCAUACAUAUACAGCCACCCAAUUAGACAAGAUGGAUGAAGCAAAGAAGUGCAGACCGACAGGAGCCGGAUGUAGAUCGCUCCUGAGAGACACAGUCAGAAUACAGCAAAUACAGAGGCGAAUGCCAGCAGCAAACCACUGAAAUGAGAAUAGGACCCCCGUUGAAGGAAUCAGAGAAAGAACUGGAAGAGCUUGAAGGGGCUCGAGACCCCAUAUGUACAACAAUGCCAAGCAAGCAGAGCUUCCAGGGACUAAGCCACUACCUAAAAACUAUACAUGGACUGACCCUGGACUCUGACCUCAUAGGUAUCGAUGAAUAUCCUAGUAAGAGCACCAGUGGAAGGGGAAGCCCUGGGUCCUGCUAAGGCUGAACCCCCAGUG